Molecule: small RNA, 52 nt
Filed under: human gut metagenome
Description: Streptococcus sRNA SpF59 (ldcC RNA)
Rfam family: Streptococcus sRNA SpF59 (ldcC RNA)
Source: RNAcentral
UGACCACCCUGCAAGGGGUUUAGGCCAUACGGACAGCCGGGUCAACUGCCGA